AAAUUGAAGAGUUUGAUCAUGGCUCAGAUUGAACGCUGGCGGCAGGCCUAACACAUGCAAGUCGAACGGUAACAGGAAGCAGCUUGCUGCUUUGCUGACGAGUGGCGGACGGGUGAGUAAUGUCUGGGAAACUGCCUGAUGGAGGGGGAUAACUACUGGAAACGGUAGCUAAUACCGCAUAACGUCGCAAGACCAAAGAGGGGGACCUUCGGGCCUCUCGCCAUCGGAUGUGCCCAGAUGGGAUUAGCUAGUAGGUGGGGUAAUGGCUCACCUAGGCGACGAUCCCUAGCUGGUCUGAGAGGAUGACCAGCCACACUGGAACUGAGACACGGUCCAGACUCCUACGGGAGGCAGCAGUGGGGAAUAUUGCACAAUGGGCGCAAGCCUGAUGCAGCCAUGCCGCGUGUAUGAAGAAGGCCUUCGGGUUGUAAAGUACUUUCAGCGGGGAGGAAGGGAGUAAAGUUAAUACCUUUGCUUAUUGACGUUACCCGCAGAAGAAGCACCGGCUAACUCCGUGCCAGCAGCCGCGGUAAUACGGAGGGUGCAAGCGUUAAUCGGAAUUACUGGGCGUAAAGCGCACGCAGGCGGUUUGUUAAGUCAGAUGUGAAAUCCCCGGGCUCAACCUGGGAACUGCAUCUGAUACUGGCAAGCUUGAGUCUCGUAGAGGGGGGUAGAAUUCCAGGUGUAGCGGUGAAAUGCGUAGAGAUCUGGAGGAAUACCGGUGGCGAAGGCGGCCCCCUGGACGAAGACUGACGCUCAGGUGCGAAAGCGUGGGGAGCAAACAGGAUUAGAUACCCUGGUAGUCCACGCCGUAAACGAUGUCGACUUGGAGGUUGUGCCCUUGAGGCGUGGCUUCCGGAGCUAACGCGUUAAGUCGACCGCCUGGGGAGUACGGCCGCAAGGUUAAAACUCAAAUGAAUUGACGGGGGCCCGCACAAGCGGUGGAGCAUGUGGUUUAAUUCGAUGCAACGCGAAGAACCUUACCUGGUCUUGACAUCCACGGAAGUUUUCAGAGAUGAGAAUGUGCCUUCGGGAACCGUGAGACAGGUGCUGCAUGGCUGUCGUCAGCUCGUGUUGUGAAAUGUUGGGUUAAGUCCCGCAACGAGCGCAACCCUUAUCCUUUGUUGCCAGCGGUCCGGCCGGGAACUCAAAGGAGACUGCCAGUGAUAAACUGGAGGAAGGUGGGGAUGACGUCAAGUCAUCAUGGCCCUUACGACCAGGGCUACACACGUGCUACAAUGGCGCAUACAAAGAGAAGCGACCUCGCGAGAGCAAGCGGACCUCAUAAAGUGCGUCGUAGUCCGGAUUGGAGUCUGCAACUCGACUCCAUGAAGUCGGAAUCGCUAGUAAUCGUGGAUCAGAAUGCCACGGUGAAUACGUUCCCGGGCCUUGUACACACCGCCCGUCACACCAUGGGAGUGGGUUGCAAAAGAAGUAGGUAGCUUAACCUUCGGGAGGGCGCUUACCACUUUGUGAUUCAUGACUGGGGUGAAGUCGUAACAAGGUAACCGUAGGGGAACCUGCGGUUGGAUCACCUCCUUACCUUAAAGAAGC
Molecule: ribosomal RNA, 1554 nt
Filed under: Shigella boydii
Lineage: Bacteria; Pseudomonadati; Pseudomonadota; Gammaproteobacteria; Enterobacterales; Enterobacteriaceae
Description: bacterial SSU rRNA
Rfam family: Bacterial small subunit ribosomal RNA
Source: RNAcentral